RNAcentral lists this ribosomal RNA (510 nucleotides) under uncultured bacterium. RNAcentral describes it as "bacterial SSU rRNA". It matches the Rfam family "Bacterial small subunit ribosomal RNA", at positions 9 to 515 of the family's 1533-position model. The record is from RNAcentral.
GAGUUUGAUCGUGGCUCAGAUUGAACGCUGGCGGCAGGCCUAACACAUGCAAGUCGAGCGGUAGAGAGAAGCUUGCUUCUCUUGAGAGCGGCGGACGGGUGAGUAAUGCCUAGGAAUCUGCCUGGUAGUGGGGGGAUAACGCUCGGAAACGGACGCUAAUACCGCAUACGUCCUACGGGAGAAAGCAGGGGACCUUCGGGCCUUGCGCUAUCAGAUGAGCCUAGGUCGGAUUAGCUAGUUGGUGAGGUAAUGGCUCACCAAGGCGACGAUCCGUAACUGGUCUGAGAGGAUGAUCAGUCACACUGGAACUGAGACACGGUCCAGACUCCUACGGGAGGCAGCAGUGGGGAAUAUUGGACAAUGGGCGAAAGCCUGAUCCAGCCAUGCCGCGUGUGUGAAGAAGGUCUUCGGAUUGUAAGCACUUUAAGUUGGGAGGAAGGGCAGUAAUUAAUACUUUGCUGUUUUGACGUUACCGACAGAAUAAGCACCGGCUAACUCUGUGCCAGCACG